RNAcentral lists this ribosomal RNA (351 nucleotides) under uncultured Veillonellaceae bacterium. RNAcentral's name for it is "partial 16S ribosomal RNA". The record is from RNAcentral. Lineage: Bacteria; Bacillati; Bacillota; Negativicutes; Veillonellales; Veillonellaceae.
GGAGUCUGGGCCGUGUCUCAGUCCCAAUGUGGCCGGUCAUCCUCUCAGAUCGGCUACUGAUCGUCGCCUUGGUGAGCCGUUACCCCACCAACCAGCUAAUCAGACGCAGACCCAUCGCAGGGCGAUAGCUUAUAAAUAGAGGCCAUCUUUAACGUUAUAUCCAUGCGACUAUAACGCAACAUUCGGUAUUAGCAGCUCUUUCGAGCUGUUGUCCCCAUCCCUGCGGUAAGUUGUCUACGCGUUACUCACCCGUUUGCCACUAGAGUUUUAAAAGCAAGCUUUCAAAACUCCCGUUCGACUUGCAUGUGUUAAGCACGCCGCCAGCGUGUCCUGAGCCAUGAUCAAACUACU